UACGUAGGGGCCUAGCGUUGUCCGGAUUUAUUGGGCGUAAAGAGCUCGUAGGCGGCUUGUUGCGUCGACCGUGAAAACCCGUGGCUCAACUGCGGGCUUGCGGUCGAUACGGGCGGGCUAGAGUUCGGUAGGGGAGACUGGAAUUCCUGGUGUAGCGGUGAAAUGCGCAGAUAUCAGGAGGAACACCGGUGGCGAAGGCGGGUCUCUGGGCCGAUACUGACGCUGAGGAGCGAAAGCGUGGGGAGCGAACAGG
Molecule: ribosomal RNA, 253 nt
Filed under: uncultured bacterium
Lineage: Bacteria
Description: partial 16S ribosomal RNA
Rfam family: Bacterial small subunit ribosomal RNA
Source: RNAcentral